Cucurbita maxima (winter squash) is the source of this 87-nucleotide small nucleolar RNA. RefSeq annotates it as small nucleolar RNA snoR114. Lineage: Eukaryota; Viridiplantae; Streptophyta; Magnoliopsida; Cucurbitales; Cucurbitaceae. The transcript has a single exon. The record is from RefSeq and is a predicted model, not a curated record.
UUGCUAUGAAGAAUUAGUGCCUACAGUGAUCUGGGUCGAUCACAACCGUCCGAUCAUUCUGACGAAGUUUAGGGCGCAUCUGAGCUU